RNAcentral lists this ribosomal RNA (500 nucleotides) under uncultured bacterium. RNAcentral's name for it is "partial 16S ribosomal RNA". It matches the Rfam family "Bacterial small subunit ribosomal RNA", at positions 28 to 507 of the family's 1533-position model. The record is from RNAcentral.
GACGAACGCUGGCGGCGUGCUUAACACAUGCAAGUCGAACGGGCCUGUCUUCUUUUUUGGGGGGUGGGUUGAGUGGCGAACGGGUGAGUAUCACGUGAGUAACCUGCCCUUCGGUCCUGGAUAACCGCUUGAAAGGGCGGCUAAUACGGGGUGGUCCGGUUGGUCCGCAUGGGCUGGUCGGGAUAGAUUCACUGUUUUUGGUGUUUCGGCGGGGGAUGGGCUCGCGGCCGAUCGGCUUGUUGGUGGGGGGAUGGCCUACCAAGGCGGGGACGGGUAGCCGGAGUGAGAGGGGGGGCGGCGACACGGGGACUGGGAUACGGCCCAGAGUCCUGCGGGAGGCAGCAGUGGGGGGUAGUGCACAAUGGGCGGAAGCCUGAUGCAGCGACGUCGCGUGAGGGAUGGACGCCUUCGGGUUGUGAACCUCUGUUCCCGGUGGUGAAGGCCCUGUCCGUGUGGUGGGGUUGACGGUAGCCGGGGAUGAAGCGCCGGCUAACUACGUG